Molecule: ribosomal RNA, 467 nt
Filed under: uncultured bacterium
Lineage: Bacteria
Description: partial 16S ribosomal RNA
Rfam family: Bacterial small subunit ribosomal RNA
Source: RNAcentral
ACGAACGCUGGCGGCGUGCUUAACACAUGCCAGUCGCACGGAAAGGCCCUGCUUUUGUGGGGUGCUCGAGUGGCGAACGGGUGAGUAACACGUGAGUAACCUGCCCUUGACUUUGGGAUAACUUCAGGAAACUGGGGCUAAUACCGGAUAGGAGCUCCUGCUGCAUGGUGGGGGUUGGAAAGUUUCGGCGGUUGGGGAUGGACUCGCGGCUUAUCAGCUUGUUGGUGGGGUAGUGGCUUACCAAGGCUUUGACGGGUAGCCGGCCUGAGAGGGUGACCGGCCACAUUGGGACUGAGAUACGGCCCAGACUCCUACGGGAGGCAGCAGUGGGGAAUAUUGCACAAUGGGCGGAAGUCUGAUGCAGCAACGCCGCGUGCGGGAUGACGGCCUUCGGGUUGUAAACCGCUUUCGCCUGUGACGAAGCGUGAGUGACGGUAAUGGGUAAAGAAGCACCGGCUAACUACGUG